CCUACGGGCGGCAGCAGUGGGGAAUAUUGGACAAUGGGGGGAACCCUGAUCCAGCCAUGCCGCGUGUGUGAAGAAGGCCCUCGGGUUGUAAAGCACUUUCAGUGAGGAAGAACGCCUGGUGGUUAAUACCCAUCAGGAAAGACAUCACUCACAGAAGAAGCACCGGCUAACUCCGUGCCAGCAGCCGCGGUAAUACGGAGGGUGCGAGCGUUAAUCGGAAUUACUGGGCGUAAAGCGCGCGUAGGUGGCUUGAUAAGCCGGUUGUGAAAGCCCCGGGCUCAACCUGGGAACGGCAUCCGGAACUGUCAAGCUAGAGUGCAGGAGAGGAAGGUAGAAUUCCCGGUGUAGCGGUGAAAUGCGUAGAGAUCGGGAGGAAUACCAGUGGCGAAGGCGGCCUUCUGGACUGACACUGACACUGAGGUGCGAAAGCGUGGGUGGCAAACAGGAUUAGAUACCCUAGUAGUC
Molecule: ribosomal RNA, 465 nt
Filed under: Vreelandella stevensii
Lineage: Bacteria; Pseudomonadati; Pseudomonadota; Gammaproteobacteria; Oceanospirillales; Halomonadaceae
Description: partial 16S ribosomal RNA
Rfam family: Bacterial small subunit ribosomal RNA
Source: RNAcentral